GACGAACGCUGGCGGCGUGCUUAACACAUGCAAGUCGAACGAUGAACCCGGAGCUUGCUCCGGUGGAUUAGUGGCGAACGGGUGAGUAACACGUGAGUAACCUGCCCUUGACUCUGGGAUAACUGCGGGAAACUGUAGCUAAUACCGGAUACGACCCUCGGCGGCAUCGCCAGGGGGUGGAAAGAAUUUCGGUCAAGGAUGGACUCGCGGCCCAUCAGCUAGUUGGUGAGGUAACGGCUCACCAAGGCGACGACGGGUAGCCGACCUGAGAGGGUGACCGGCCACACUGGGACUGAGAUACGGCCCAGACUCCUACGGGAGGCAGCAGUGGGGAAUAUUGCACAAUGGGCGCAAGCCUGAUGCAGCGACGCCGCGUGAGGGAUGACGGCCUUCGGGUUGUAAACCUCUUUCAGCAUCGACGAAGCGAAAGUGACGGUAGGUGCAGAAGAAGGACCGGCCAACUACGUGCCAGCCGCCGCCGUAA
RNAcentral lists this ribosomal RNA (484 nucleotides) under uncultured bacterium. Its description in RNAcentral is "partial 16S ribosomal RNA". It matches the Rfam family "Bacterial small subunit ribosomal RNA", at positions 28 to 523 of the family's 1533-position model. The record is from RNAcentral.